CAUUGAAACUUCUUUUGUAAGUGCGCUACGUGGCAUCAUAUGGUUGAAUUGGAAGAAUGUUUCCAAAAUUAUAUAUAUAAAUAUAUGAUAUUAGUGGGUUAAAAAUAUAUAUUUGAAAAUAAUUGCCGCUAAAGGAUAAUAAAAUAAUAAUAAUAGUGGCCGUUUGAUAAUCACCGCUAAUAAAUUGCCGCUAAAACUCAGUUUUGUUGUAGUGCUUCCAUUUAGAAUUUGAGAGAGAUUUUCUACCCUUUAGGUGAGUUUUGCCAUAUCCUUGGGUGGAUUUUUAGAUG
RNAcentral lists this long non-coding RNA (290 nucleotides) under Ananas comosus (pineapple). RNAcentral's name for it is "long non-coding RNA (ACOM_LNC043831)". Lineage: Eukaryota; Viridiplantae; Streptophyta; Magnoliopsida; Poales; Bromeliaceae. The record is from RNAcentral.